RNAcentral lists this ribosomal RNA (253 nucleotides) under uncultured bacterium. Its description in RNAcentral is "partial 16S ribosomal RNA". It matches the Rfam family "Bacterial small subunit ribosomal RNA", at positions 524 to 776 of the family's 1533-position model. The record is from RNAcentral.
UACGUAGGGUGCAAGCGUUAAUCGGAAUUACUGGGCGUAAAGCGUGCGCAGGCGGCUUUGCAAGACAGAUGUGAAAUCCCCGGGCUUAACCUGGGAACUGCAUUUGUGACUGCAUGGCUGGAGUGCGGCAGAGGGGGAUGGAAUUCCGCGUGUAGCAGUGAAAUGCGUAGAUAUGCGGAGGAACACCGAUGGCGAAGGCGAUCCCCUGGGCCUGCACUGACGCUCAUGCACGAAAGCGUGGGGAGCAAACAGG